AUUGAACGCUGGCGGCAUGCUUUACACAUGCAAGUCGAACGGCAGCGCGGGCUUCGGCCUGGCGGCGAGUGGCGAACGGGUGAGUAAUGCAUCGGAACGUGCCCAGUAGUGGGGGAUAGCCCGGCGAAAGCCGGAUUAAUACCGCAUACGACCUGAGGGUGAAAGCGGGGGACCGAAAGGCCUCGCGCUAUUGGAGCGGCCGAUGUCGGAUUAGCUAGUUGGUGGGGUAAAGGCUUACCAAGGCGACGAUCCGUAGCUGGUCUGAGAGGACGACCAGCCACACUGGGACUGAGACACGGCCCAGACUCCUACGGGAGGCAGCAGCGGGGAAUUUUGGACAAUGGGGGCAACCCUGAUCCAGCCAUGCCGCGUGCGGGAAGAAGGCCUUCGGGUUGUAAACCGCUUUUGUUCAGGAAGAAAUCCUCUGGGCUAAUACCCCGGGGGGAUGACGGUACCGGAAGAAUAAGCACCGGCUAACUACGUG
RNAcentral lists this ribosomal RNA (484 nucleotides) under uncultured bacterium. RNAcentral describes it as "partial 16S ribosomal RNA". It matches the Rfam family "Bacterial small subunit ribosomal RNA", at positions 29 to 507 of the family's 1533-position model. The record is from RNAcentral.